CCACUUACAGAUGGACCCGCGGCGCAUUAGCUAGUUGGUGAGGUAACGGCUCACCAAGGCAACGAUGCGUAGCCGACCUGAGAGGGUGAUCGGCCACACUGGGACUGAGACACGGCCCAGACUCCUACGGGAGGCAGCAGUAGGGAAUCUUCCGCAAUGGACGAAAGUCUGACGGAGCAACGCCGCGUGAGUGAUGAAGGUUUUCGGAUCGUAAAGCUCUGUUGUUAGGGAAAAACAAGUACCGUUCGAAUAGGG
Molecule: ribosomal RNA, 255 nt
Filed under: Bacillus sp. (in: firmicutes)
Lineage: Bacteria; Bacillati; Bacillota; Bacilli; Caryophanales; Bacillaceae
Description: Bacillus sp. (in: Bacteria) partial 16S ribosomal RNA
Rfam family: Bacterial small subunit ribosomal RNA
Source: RNAcentral